Long non-coding RNA from Macrobrachium nipponense, 440 nucleotides. RefSeq lists it as uncharacterized. The transcript has 3 exons. NCBI's taxonomy places the organism in Eukaryota, Metazoa, Arthropoda, Malacostraca, Decapoda, Palaemonidae. The record is from RefSeq and is a predicted model, not a curated record.
CAGGAAGCUCCCGAGCUGACCUAUUCGUGGUGUCAUUCGUGACUCGUCUCAGAGACAGACUCUCAGUUCUCCGCCAGCCGUCAGUGGGAGAAGUGCGUACCUCGCCCGGUCUCCGAGUGCUCAUUGGGACAGUGACUUUAAUCUUGAAGAAGUGACACAGAAAAAAUAAAUCUCUUUAGAAGCUGAAACAACUGAAGCAUUUCAUGACUCUUUGUUAUAUUACUAAAGCAAUAUAAUAAGUGAUGCCAAAGAGAAGACUCUAGAGGAAAUUAAGAAGAAGAAGAGGAAAAAAAAUAAACAAGGAAUUAAUAACACAUCGAUUGCUGACGGUCAGAAACACGCCAUGACAGAAGAAAUGACGGAGUACUUCGGAGAACCACAGAAUUAAACCCCGAAGUCUAAGCGAACGCCCUCUGGUGCAAAGGCGGUGAAAUACUGAA